Molecule: long non-coding RNA, 631 nt
Organism: Malania oleifera
Lineage: Eukaryota; Viridiplantae; Streptophyta; Magnoliopsida; Santalales; Ximeniaceae
Exons: 2
Source: RefSeq, a predicted model, not a curated record
UAUUUAUUUAUUUUCUUUGCUGUAGUUGUUAUCGUUUGGAAACAAAUCGAAGCAAAUAAAAAAAUAUAAAAGGAAAAAAGAAGACGAAGAGUUUUUGAAUUGAGGGAGACUGUGACGACGAAGGCGUCGAAGUAGACCAGAGGAGGAGUAGGAGAGGGUGAAGGAGAAGGUGAAGGAGAAGGCUCGGUCGCUGAUCCGUGCUGCCGUUGAGAUAGACUGUCAUUUGAUGGAUAAGAAAGCACCUAGAAAGGAGUCUCAUGAAGACGUGACCCGGGAGUCGCUCAUUGCUAUCUCUUAUUCUCUGCCUGAUAAGUUUCUUGCUCCAAAACCCUCAUCUGAAAAUUCGAUCAAGGAGAAGUUGGUAGAAGAUUGUGGCAGCAGAGAAAAGUACAGAUCUAAGCUGAUAUCAAUUACCCACCCAGAGGCAACAGGUAUUAUUGCCCAGCAAGGUGCUAAGCAAAAAAUUGAGCGUUAGCCUGGAGGGCUGGUUUUGUGCUUGGUGACUACCUAUAAAUACAUUCUGAUGGUUUGUUGUGGUUCAGAACUAACCUAAUAUUGAUGUAGGGAGUUACUCCUUUGUGCUUGGAGCUUUGUAGACAAAUUUACAAUAAAUGUGUUUUACAUGCGUAAA